This 505-nucleotide ribosomal RNA is filed under the name uncultured bacterium. Its description in RNAcentral is "partial 16S ribosomal RNA". It matches the Rfam family "Bacterial small subunit ribosomal RNA", at positions 28 to 507 of the family's 1533-position model. The record is from RNAcentral.
GACGAACGCUGGCGGCGUGCCUAAUACAUGCAAGUCGAACGCACAGUUUAUACCGGAGCUUGCUACACCAUAGACAGUGAGUUGCGAACGGGUGAGUCACCCGUAGGUAACCUUCCUGGUAGCGGGGGAUAACUAUUGGAAACGAUAGCUAAUACCGCAUCAUAUUAAUUAUUCCAUGAUACUUAAUUGAAAGGUGCAAUUGCUCCGCUACCAGAUGGACCUGCGUUGUAUUAGCUAGUAGGGGAGGUAACGGGUCAACUAGGCGAAGGUACAUAGCCGACCUGGAGAGGAGGACGGCCACACCGGGAACGGGGCAACGGUCAGGACUCUUAGGGAGGGAGCAGUAGGGGAACAUCGGAAAAGGAGGGAAGGCUGGACGAAGAACGCCGGGGGAGGGAAGGAGGUUUUCGGGUCGUAAAGCUCUGUUGUAUGGGAAGAAAGGGUAUGAGGGUAGAAAGUUCACGCUGUGACGGUAUCUAACGAGAAAGCAACGGCUAACUACGUG